RNAcentral lists this ribosomal RNA (434 nucleotides) under uncultured bacterium. RNAcentral describes it as "partial 16S ribosomal RNA". It matches the Rfam family "Bacterial small subunit ribosomal RNA", at positions 29 to 507 of the family's 1533-position model. The record is from RNAcentral.
AGCGAACGCUGGCGGCAGGCCUAACACAUGCAAGUCGAACGAACCUUUCGGGGUUAGUGGCGGACGGGUGAGUAACACGUGGGAACGUGCCUUUAGGUUCGGAAUAACUCAGGGAAACUUGUGCUAAUACCGAAUGUGCCCUUCGGGGGAAAGAUUACUCGCCUUUAGAGCGGCCCGCGUCUGUUUAGCUAGUUGGUUGAGGUAAUGGCUCACCAAGGCGACGAUCAGUAGCUGGUCUGAGAGGAGGAUCAGCCACAUUGGGACUGAGACACGGCCCAAACUCCUACGGGAGGCAGCAGUGGGGAAUCUUGCGCAAUGGGCGAAAGCCUGACGCAGCCAUGCCGCGUGAAUGAUGAAGGUCUUAGGAUUGUAAAAUUCUUUCACCGGGGACGAUAAUGACGGUACCCGGAGAAGAAGCCCCGGCUAACUUCGUG